GUCCCUGCAGCGCAAGGGAUAGCGCGUUGAACUUUUAAUCCAAAGGUCGUGGUUUUGAAUCUUACCUGGGACG
Non-coding RNA from Trichonephila clavipes, 73 nucleotides. The record is from the annotation of a GenBank genome assembly. Lineage: Eukaryota; Metazoa; Arthropoda; Arachnida; Araneae; Nephilidae.